RNAcentral lists this ribosomal RNA (675 nucleotides) under Lactobacillus crispatus. RNAcentral describes it as "bacterial SSU rRNA". It matches the Rfam family "Bacterial small subunit ribosomal RNA", at positions 61 to 703 of the family's 1533-position model. Lineage: Bacteria; Bacillati; Bacillota; Bacilli; Lactobacillales; Lactobacillaceae. The record is from RNAcentral.
GUCGAGCGAGCGGAACUAACAGAUUUACUUCGGUAAUGACGUUAGGAAAGCGAGCGGCGGAUGGGUGAGUAACACGUGGGGAACCUGCCCCAUAGUCUGGGAUACCACUUGGAAACAGGUGCUAAUACCGGAUAAGAAAGCAGAUCGCAUGAUCAGCUUUUAAAAGGCGGCGUAAGCUGUCGCUAUGGGAUGGCCCCGCGGUGCAUUAGCUAGUUGGUAAGGUAAAGGCUUACCAAGGCGAUGAUGCAUAGCCGAGUUGAGAGACUGAUCGGCCACAUUGGGACUGAGACACGGCCCAAACUCCUACGGGAGGCAGCAGUAGGGAAUCUUCCACAAUGGACGCAAGUCUGAUGGAGCAACGCCGCGUGAGUGAAGAAGGUUUUCGGAUCGUAAAGCUCUGUUGUUGGUGAAGAAGGAUAGAGGUAGUAACUGGCCUUUAUUUGACGGUAAUCAACCAGAAAGUCACGGCUAACUACGUGCCAGCAGCCGCGGUAAUACGUAGGUGGCAAGCGUUGUCCGGAUUUAUUGGGCGUAAAGCGAGCGCAGGCGGAAGAAUAAGUCUGAUGUGAAAGCCCUCGGCUUAACCGAGGAACUGCAUCGGAAACUGUUUUUCUUGAGUGCAGAAGAGGAGAGUGGAACUCCAUGUGUAGCGGUGGAAUGCGUAGAUAUAUGGAA